RNAcentral lists this non-coding RNA (28 nucleotides) under Mus musculus (house mouse). The record is from RNAcentral. Lineage: Eukaryota; Metazoa; Chordata; Mammalia; Rodentia; Muridae.
UUGUUGGUAAAUGACACUAAGUGAAUGG